GCCUUCGUGGCGCAACGGUAGCACACUCGGCGCGUAUUCGAGAGGUCCAGGUUCGAGUCCCGGUGAAGGCA
Non-coding RNA from Stegodyphus mimosarum, 71 nucleotides. The record is from Rfam. NCBI's taxonomy places the organism in Eukaryota, Metazoa, Arthropoda, Arachnida, Araneae, Eresidae.